This 407-nucleotide ribosomal RNA is filed under the name uncultured bacterium. RNAcentral describes it as "partial 16S ribosomal RNA". It matches the Rfam family "Bacterial small subunit ribosomal RNA", at positions 28 to 526 of the family's 1533-position model. The record is from RNAcentral.
GACGAACGCUGGCGGCGCGCUUAACACAUGCAAGUCGAGCGAAGCGGCGGACGGGUGAGUAACAAGUGAGUAACCUGACUUAGACAUUGGGAUAGACUCGGGAAACCGGGAUUAAUAACAAAUGGUCUAAGAUGGACUCGCGUCCCAGUAGCUAGUUGGUGAGGUAACGGCCCACCAAGGCGACGAUGGGUAGCCGGCCUGGGAGGGUGAACGGCCACAUUGGAACUGAUCAACGGUCCAAACUCUACGGUAGGCCGCAGUGGGGAAUAUUGCACAAUGGCGGGAACUCUGAUGCAGCGACGCCGCGUGAACGAAGAAGGCUUUCGAGUCGUAAAGUUCUUUUAUAUGGGAAGCGGUACCAUAAGAAAAAGCCCCGGCUAACUACGUGCCAGCCGCCGCGGUAAUAC